This 222-nucleotide ribosomal RNA is filed under the name uncultured bacterium. Its description in RNAcentral is "partial 16S ribosomal RNA". It matches the Rfam family "Bacterial small subunit ribosomal RNA", at positions 117 to 334 of the family's 1533-position model. The record is from RNAcentral.
CCGGUUAACCCACUCAGAGGGGGAGUAACACUUGGAAACAGGUGCUAAUACCGCAUAACAGUUUAUGCCGCAUGGCAUAAGAGUGAAAGGCGCUUUCGGGUGUCGCUGAUGGAUGGACCCGCGGUGCAUUAGCUAGUUGGUGAGGUAACGGCUCACCAAGGCCACGAUGCAUAGCCGACCUGAGAGGGUGAUCGGCCACACUGGGACUGAGACACGGCCCAG